CUACGGGUCGCUGCAGUGGGGAAUCUUAGACAAUGGGCGCAAGCCUGAUCUAGCCAUGCCGCGUGAGUGACGAAGGCCUUAGGGUCGUAAAGCUCUUUCGCUGGGGAAGAUAAUGACGGUACCCAGUAAAGAAACCCCGGCUAACUCCGUGCCAGCAGCCGCGGUAAUACGGAGGGGGUUAGCGUUGUUCGGAAUUACUGGGCGUAAAGCGCGCGUAGGCGGAUCAGAAAGUUGGGGGUGAAAUCCCGGGGCUCAACCCCGGAACUGCCUUCAAAACUCCUGGUCUUGAGUUCGAGAGAGGUGAGUGGAAUUCCGAGUGUAGAGGUGGAAUUCGUAGAUAUUCGGAGGAACACCAGUGGCGAAGGCGGCUCACUGGCUCGAUACUGACGCUGAGGUGCGAAAGCGUGGGGAGCAAACAGGAUUAGAUACCCUAGUAGUC
This 439-nucleotide ribosomal RNA is filed under the name uncultured bacterium. RNAcentral's name for it is "partial 16S ribosomal RNA". It matches the Rfam family "Bacterial small subunit ribosomal RNA", at positions 339 to 795 of the family's 1533-position model. The record is from RNAcentral.